GGACGUUCCAUUGGCGCCAUACAGUGUCGGUCACUUAGUCACAGAACGUCGCGUGGUACAAUAGGCCAGUGAAGGUUCUAUUCAUCCCGCCCCAAUCUGAGGUGACGGGAAAGGGCUGGGAAAUUUCCACUUCGGAUUAAAAUGAGGGCUGAAUUGACGACCGCAAAAAUUAAUAAAAACUGUAGUAGACCUAACCUUGCGCUUGCAGAGGCUUGCACCUCAAGGAUGCAAGAGACGCCGAGGUAACGCAGUUAACACCUGUCGCUCUCCGUCGAGAGCCGAGACUACGGCUGGAAAAUCGCUGCACCGGGAUUGGAGGAAAGAAGCCAUCAGUCUCAGCGAAGCCCCACCUUCCUGCCAUUGCCUGGUUGGAGGACCAAGGCGUCAGUCACUGGGUCUGUCGCCACCUCUGAGACAGGGGCAGACGGCGGGUCCGCGGGCUGGACAGCGCCAUCCCUCAGUACCGGGAACUGUCCCACGAAGGAGGUGGCAAGGCGGGUGACGACCAGCGCACAGAAUCCGACCGCCUGACUGAACGCUGCGUGCUGUGAAGCAAUUUUGAGUUCUAACACUGCCACUUUUGUGCUGGGUGACCUCGGCGCGAUUGAUGUUAUUCCUUGUAAAAUGGGAGUGAUAUUGGCAUCUUCCUUUUAUUGGGUGGGUAUGAAUAAAUCAUGUGAUAACACAGCAGCAAGAAAAGUGCCAAAGUUAUAGGAAAGACUCAUUUUUGUUAGCUACUGCCUCCUCUUCGGAUUUCAUGCGUCCUUCGCCCGGUGUAGGUUCUGCCAGCCAAACCAAUUCUAGCCAGAUCGCAAAGCUAACCAAAGGAGGUCUUCCCUUCUAAGGAUCUCUCCCCAUCUGUACAUGUCUGUGCUUCCUCCUCUAUCUCUUUUGUCAAUAAAGAGAAGUUUAGCCGGGCUUGGUGGCGUAGACCUGUAAUCCCAGCACUGGAGUGCCUGAGGCAGGAGGAUUGCCACGAGUUCAAGACCAGCCUGAACUACAUAGCGAGAGCCUGUCUCAAAAAAACAAAAUAAAAUACAAAAAAGUAAGUAAAUACAGAGAAGGUUUGAAAGUGUUCCCCUUGCAACUAAUCUCAUGAUCAGAGAUCACAAGAAAAGAAUUUGGCAAAUGAAUGCAAAUGUUCUUUGAUCCAGAGAAUGUCUCUAUAACAGGUUAACUAAAAGCAAAAGAUGUCAUUUUUCUCCUCUCUUACAAACUGUUUUGUUUAUUUUAAUUGUGCAGUAUAUAUACUGCACAAAAUAUAUUUAUGUAUUAUAUUAUAUAUAAUAUAUAAAGUAAAUAUAUAAUACUUUACUCCUUUAAACUGGUAUCUGAAACUUCUAUAAAGAAUAUAAUUUUUCUAAUUAUGAGAAAUGGAAAAAACGGAAACAAAGUCUUUGUAAAUAGGGAAGGGUGGAGGGGGUGAAGGGAGGGCUAGGAAUGGGGAAAAAAUAAGAACCAAGAUGCAUCAUGUAAAGGUACAAGUUCCCAAUGAGAAAUGUAAAUGUGUUGUAUACCUAAAAUGUACCAAUAAAAGAAUUUUUUUAAAAAAUAUAUAAUUUUUCUAAUUACCUUCAAAGUUGAUUUUGCCAAACAAUUAUUUUUGAAGAUAGUUAACAUUUCUUUGACUUGGUAAUUACUCAUUUUUACAUUUCAUGUGAAAGAAGGAUAGUAGUUUUUUAUAAACAGAAUACAUUAAAUAAGUGUUCUUUCUAGAUAAUAAA
Heterocephalus glaber (naked mole-rat) is the source of this 1724-nucleotide long non-coding RNA. RefSeq lists it as uncharacterized. The record is from RefSeq and is a predicted model, not a curated record. NCBI's taxonomy places the organism in Eukaryota, Metazoa, Chordata, Mammalia, Rodentia, Bathyergidae.